GCGCCCUUAGCUCAGCUGGAUAGAGCAACGCCCUUCUAAGGCGUGGGUCGCAGGUUCGAAUCCUGCAGGGCGCGCCA
Molecule: transfer RNA, 77 nt
Filed under: Colwellia sp.
Lineage: Bacteria; Pseudomonadati; Pseudomonadota; Gammaproteobacteria; Alteromonadales; Colwelliaceae
Also listed under: 13 other names
Description: tRNA-Arg
Rfam family: tRNA
About the family: Transfer RNA (tRNA) molecules are approximately 80 nucleotides in length. Their secondary structure includes four short double-helical elements and three loops (D, anti-codon, and T loops).
Source: RNAcentral